GAUGAACGCUGGCGGCGUGCCUAAUACAUGCAAGUCGAGCGAACGGACGAGAAGCUUGCUCCUCUGAUGUUAGCGGCGGACGGGUGAGUAACACGUGGAUAACCUACCUAUAAGACUGGGAUAACUUCGGGAAACCGUAGCUAAUACCGGAUAAUAUUUUGAACCGCAUGGUUCAAAAGUGAAAGGCGGUCUUGCUGUCACUUAUAGAUGGAUCCGCGCUGCAUUAGCUAGUUGGUAAGGUAACGGCUUACCAAGGCAACGAUGCAUAGCCGACCUGAGAGGGUGAUCAGCCACACUGGAACUGAGACACGGUCCAGACUCCUACGGGAGGCAGCAGUAGGGAAUCUUCCGCAAUGGGCGAAAGCCUGACGGAGCAACGCCGCGUGAGUGAUGAAGGUCUUCGGAUCGUAAAACUCUGUUAUUAGGGAAGAACAUAUGUGUAAGUAACUGUGCACAUCUUGACGGUACCUAAUCAGAAAGCCACGGCUAACUACGUG
Molecule: ribosomal RNA, 497 nt
Filed under: uncultured bacterium
Lineage: Bacteria
Description: partial 16S ribosomal RNA
Rfam family: Bacterial small subunit ribosomal RNA
Source: RNAcentral